This 253-nucleotide ribosomal RNA is filed under the name uncultured bacterium. RNAcentral's name for it is "partial 16S ribosomal RNA". It matches the Rfam family "Bacterial small subunit ribosomal RNA", at positions 524 to 776 of the family's 1533-position model. The record is from RNAcentral.
UACGUAGGAUGCAAGCGUUGUCCGGAAUUAUUGGGCGUAAAGAGCGAGCAGGCGGUUUGGCAAGUUGGAUGUGAAAUUUUAGGGCUUAACCCUAAAGGGUCGUCCAAAACUCCCAGACUAGAGUGCAGGAGAGGAAAGCGGAAUUCCCGGUGUAGUGGUGAAAUGCGUAGAUAUCGGGAGGAACACCAGAGGCGAAGGCGGCUUUCUGGCCUGUAACUGACGCUGAGGCGCGAAGGCUGGGGUAGCGAACAGG